Molecule: long non-coding RNA, 1139 nt
Organism: Aedes aegypti (yellow fever mosquito)
Lineage: Eukaryota; Metazoa; Arthropoda; Insecta; Diptera; Culicidae
Exons: 3
Source: RefSeq, a predicted model, not a curated record
UUUCAGUAGUGGGUAUUCUGGCUGCUAGUGUUCUUCUACUUCUCGUUCGAUACAGUUAUACAGGGUGAGCAUCUUCCAUAGCAGUUCGAAAAGUUCAACCCAUCCGGAACGGCGAGCCACGCGCCGGGUGAAAACACUUCUCAUGUUUGCCAACACACCAAGCCUUCCGGCGUAAGGUCACCAUCGUAUCCGUAGAUAAUUUCUGCAUUAACUUCACCGCAACCAAACGGGCGCUGAUUGUCGAUUGAGAGAGUCCAGGAAGUGUCAUACCAUUAUUGCAGUCUGGCGUCUGGCAAGAUUAAUGGCCAAUUUAUGAAGAUGGAAUUAUGUUCAUGUUGGAAUCGGAAUUACUACUGGAUUUGAACGAAGAAUUUAAAUCGACACUACGAAUUCUACGAAUCUUCCAAUAUCGCUGAAGGGGUUACCAACCAAUGGACAAUUGAUACAUGCCAUAUGGCCCGCUCCGUGCCAGCCAUUCCACAGUCGAUCAAUUUAUUUAUCAACAAAGAUAAUCCAAUUUAGUUUAAUGUCCCUUAAUGCACACCAUCGGAACACAUCUUAAGUGCAUCACCUCUCGAACAACCUCACAUUGAAAACCAGCAAACCACUUUCGACUUCCCUCGGAAACUGAUUUCAUUUUGAUACACUUGUCCCCGAUAUUAUUAUCAUUGUAAUAACAGUAUGAAGGUUUGCUCGUUCGCGUCUUGGAAGAGGGAAGUUUCACCCCUGCUAGAUACAUUUAGAUGUUAUCAAUCUUGUUUUCCCUAGAGUCGACGUAGUGUCACUUAGGGGACCUUAAAAAUGCCAUACACAGCAGAAAAUAUUUGUUUAGAUUUUUAAAUUUUAUUUUUAAAUUAAUAUAAUAAUGUCUUGCAUGAUUUGAAAAAUCUCCUAAAAGUCAUUGAACAAGCCAAGUAACCAAAUAUAAAACGCGUUGUUUUGGAGCAAAGUAAUAACUAAACAUUAGGGCGGAUAAAUUUUCGAUAGUUUUCAUUACCAAAAAUUCGUGUGCUUCUUCGAAUAAAAAUCGCAUAAAAAGAGAAACUUCACAUUUUAAGCCAAAAGUAUUAAAAUUUAAAGGGACUUUCUUUAGAGUCCGUGACUACAAAGCAAAGCCAUGCUGAAGGUGUCUGGGUUGG